Quercus lobata is the source of this 717-nucleotide long non-coding RNA. RefSeq lists it as uncharacterized. The transcript is spliced from 3 exons. NCBI's taxonomy places the organism in Eukaryota, Viridiplantae, Streptophyta, Magnoliopsida, Fagales, Fagaceae. The record is from RefSeq and is a predicted model, not a curated record.
UUUGUAGUUUGUUGGCGAGGUGAGAUUCUCGCAUUGCCAGGAUCUGAGAAGAUAUUUACAACAGAUAUGUUGUAAAAUCAGAAGGAAAGAAGAAAAUCUGGGCCAGUUUUCACCAAGAGGUUGUUUUCUCUCAGGCUAGCCAUGUGAUUCCCCCCCACUGCAUCAACCAUUUCAAAGGUGAAUUGAUGUGGCUGUCCCAUAUAUACGGUGUGUGUCACUUUCAGAUUGUUUGAUGCAGUUGCAUUGAAGCUUUUUAAUUGCUAGCUGUUGCCCAAGCUUGGCAGUGCAGUAAUGUAGGCUUUGUCUUAUAGCAUCAUGAUGAUAUGCAGAGUUCAGACAAACAGUAAGGCACUACAUGGCUUCUUUAUCUUACAAUUGAGGUCUCCUUUGUUAAUUGAUUAUUGAUAUUAGGGAAAGAAAUAGGCAAAAUUGUAAUGGUGAAGUAAGACCCAGAAGAACUAUAAGUUGUAAUUAGGAAUUUUAACCUGAAACGCUAAUGACAUCUGUUGAUCCCAUGCUUGAAGAAAAGGUUUAACAAGUUGUAGAAAAGGCUCUCCUCUACUUGUACUGCCCUUUGUGACUUUUGGUCUCUUCCUCAGUUACUGGUUUUUUAGUAGAAAGGUAAGAUUUUAUACACUAGUGGAAAGAUUACAUGUAUAAAUAUAACUUUCUUCUACAACCACUCAAUUUGCCUCCACUUUUACCACAACUUGAAGU